GAUGAACGCUAGCGGCAGGCUUAAUACAUGCAAGUCGAGGGGCAGCAUGACUGUAGCAAUACAGUUGAUGGCGACCGGCAAACGGGUGCGGAACACGUACAGAACCUUCCUUCGAGCGGGGAAUAGCCCAGAGAAAUUUGGAUUAAUACCCCAUAGUAUUACGGAGUGGCAUCACUUUGUAAUUAAAGAUUUAUCACUUG
Molecule: ribosomal RNA, 200 nt
Filed under: uncultured bacterium
Lineage: Bacteria
Description: partial 16S ribosomal RNA
Rfam family: Bacterial small subunit ribosomal RNA
Source: RNAcentral